Molecule: ribosomal RNA, 433 nt
Filed under: uncultured bacterium
Lineage: Bacteria
Description: bacterial SSU rRNA
Rfam family: Bacterial small subunit ribosomal RNA
Source: RNAcentral
UCGAGCGCCCCGCAAGGGGAGCGGCAGACGGGUGAGUAACGCGUGGGAAUCUACCUUUUGCUACGGAAUAACGCAGGGAAACUUGUGCUAAUACCGUAUGUGCCCUUCGGGGGAAAGAUUUAUCGGCAAAGGAUGAGCCCGCGUUGGAUUAGCUAGUUGGUGGGGUAAAGGCCUACCAAGGCGACGAUCCAUAGCUGGUCUGAGAGGAUGAUCAGCCACAUUGGGACUGAGACACGGCCCAAACUCCUACGGGAGGCAGCAGUGGGGAAUAUUGGACAAUGGGCGCAAGCCUGAUCCAGCCAUGCCGCGUGAGUGAUGAAGGCCUUAGGGUUGUAAAGCUCUUUCACCGGUGAAGAUAAUGACGGUAACCGGAGAAGAAGCCCCGGCUAACUUCGUGCCAGCAGCCGCGGUAAUACGAAGGGGGCUAGCGUUG